This is a long non-coding RNA of Populus euphratica (Euphrates poplar), 179 nucleotides long. RefSeq lists it as uncharacterized. Lineage: Eukaryota; Viridiplantae; Streptophyta; Magnoliopsida; Malpighiales; Salicaceae. The record is from RefSeq and is a predicted model, not a curated record. The transcript is spliced from 2 exons.
AAAGAAUCAUCUCAACCCAAAAGUUUAAGCUAUUAAGUGAGGCUUUAAAAUAUAAUUUAUAUUAUUUUCUAACACUCCCCCUCAAGUGAAAGCCCUUUGGAUUUGAAACUUGCACAUACCCACAUUAUCUUGUGCUUAAUUUUUUUUUAUCAAAUAAAUGAUGAUGAUGAGAUUCGAAC